Molecule: ribosomal RNA, 459 nt
Filed under: uncultured bacterium
Lineage: Bacteria
Description: partial 16S ribosomal RNA
Rfam family: Bacterial small subunit ribosomal RNA
Source: RNAcentral
CCUACGGUAGGCAGCAGUGAGGAAUAUUGGUCAAUGGCCGAGAGGCUGAACCAGCCAAGUCGCGUGAGGGAAGCCGGCCCUACGGGUUGUAAACCUCUUUUGUCGGGGAGCAAAGCGAGUCACGUGUGACUCAUUGAGAGUACCCGAAGAAAAAGCAUCGGCUAGAUCUGUGCCAGCAGCCGCGGUAAUACGGAGGAUGCGAGCGUUAUCCGGAUGUAUUGGGUUUAUAGGGUGCGCAGGCGGAGGUGCAAGUCAGCGGUCAAAUUGCAGGGCUCAACCCCGUACUGCCGUUGAAACUGCAUCCCUUGAGUGCGCGAGAAGUAUGCGGAAUGAGUAGUGUAGCGGUGAAAUGUUUAGAUAUUACUCAGAACACCGAUUGCGCAGGCAGCUUGCUAAUCCGCAUCUGACGCUGAUGCACGAAAGCGUGGGUAGCGAACAGGAUUAGAUACCCCGGUAGUC